AAGCAGGAGCUGAAAACUAGAAGUUGAGGCAUGAGUUUGGCCACUCCGUAGUGUGCACUUGGUGAGGGCAGCAGCUCGCCACAGCUGCCAGCCAUCUGUCCAUUCACCCAUCUGUCCAUCUGGCAGCCCGCUGUUCAGACCUGUCUGUCUGUCCGCCCAUCUGUAAGCCCAUCUCUGUCCCAUUGUCUAUCUGACCAUCUUUCUCUUACUGUCCUCUUUGUCUAGCUAUCUGGCCUGUCUGUCGAUCCAUCUUCGUGUCUGUCUUCAGCCCCCACCUGUUUGUCCAUCUGUCCAAUUACCUGUGAGUCUAUCUAUGCAUCUUCUUGUCCAUUCAUCUGCCCACCCAUCUGUCCCUCCAUCUGCCCACCGGCCUCCCCUCUCCUUCUGGGCCGCAGAGCCAUGGCCCAGGACUACGGAGCCAUGGGUGACCUGGUCCUGCUGGGGCUGGGGCUGGGGCUGGCGCUGGCUGUCAUUGUGCUGGCUGUGGUCCUCUCUCGACACCAGGCCCCAUUUGACCCCCGGCCUUUGCCCACACCGCUGUUGCUGCUGACUCCAAGGUCUUCUCAAAUAUUGUACGGCAGGAAACUGCAUAUCUUCUGGUUUACAUGAAGAUGGAGUGCUAAUGGAAAUGCCCAAAACCUUCAGAGAUUGACACGCUGUCAUUUUCCAUUUCCGUUCCUGGAUCUACGGAGUCUUCUAAGAGAUUUUGCAAUGAGGAGAAGCAUUGUUUUCAAACUAUAUAACUGAGCCUUAUUUAUAAUUAGGGAUAUUAUCAAAAUAUGUAACCAUGAGGCCCCUCAGGUCCUGAUCAGUCAGAAUGGAUGCUUUCACCAGCAGACCCGGCCAUGUGGCUGCUCGGUCCUGGGUGCUCGCUGCUGUGCGAGACAUUAGCCCUUUAGUUAUGAGCCUGUGGGAACUUCAGGGGUUCCCAGUGGGGAGAGCAGUGGCAGUGGGAGGCAUCUGGGGGCCAAAGGUCAGUGGCAGGGGGUAUUUCAGUAUUAUACAACUGCUGUGACCAGACUUGUAUACUGGCUGAAUAUCAGUGCUGUUUGUAAUUUUUCACUUUGAGAACCAACAUUAAUUCCAUAUGAAUCUAGUGUUUUGUAACUGCUAUUCAUUUAUUCAGCAAAUAUUUAUUGAUCAUCUCUUCUCCAUAAGAUAGUGUGAUAAACACAGUCAUGAAUAAAGUUAUUUUCCACAAAA
Molecule: long non-coding RNA, 1203 nt
Filed under: Homo sapiens (human)
Lineage: Eukaryota; Metazoa; Chordata; Mammalia; Primates; Hominidae
Description: HSALNT0404919
Source: RNAcentral